CCUAUGGUGAUAACUGCGAGUCGAGCGUCUCUUAGCUAUGGUGGAGACGCGGCGUACGGCUCAGUAACACGUGGCUAAUCUACCCUUAGGACGGGGACAACCCCGGGAAACUGGGGCUAAUCCCCGAUAGGUGAGGAGGCCUGGAAUGGUUUCUCACCCAAAGGGCGUUGGAACCAUGCUUUCUAACGUCGCCUAAGGAUGGGGCCGCGGCCGAUCAGGUUGUUGGCGGGGUAACGGCCCACCAAGCCUAUAACCGGUACGGGCCAUGAGAGUGGGAGCCCGGAGAUGGGCACUGAGACAAGGGCCCAGGCCCUACGGGGCGCAGCAGUUGCGAAACCUCCGCAAUGCGCGAAAGCGUGACGGGGCUACCCCGAGUGCCGGCCGCUGAGGUCAGCUUUUCUCCGGUGUAAUGAGCCGGAGGAAUAAGGAGAGGGCAAGCCUGGUGUCAGCCGCCGCGGUAAAACCAGCUCUCCGAGUGGUAGGGAUGAUUAUUGGGCCUAAAGCGUUCGUAGCCGGUCUGGUGAGUGUCCUGUUAAAUCCACCGACCUAAUCGUUGGACUGCAGGAUAUACCGCCGGACUAGGAGGCGGAAGAAGUUGACGGUAUUUCUGGGGUAGGGGUGAAAUCCUAUAAUCCCAGGAGGACCAUCAGUGGCGAAGGCGGUCGACUAGAACACGCUCGACGGUGAGGGACGAAAGCUGGGGGAGCGAACCGGAUUAGAUACCCGGGUAGUCCCAGCUGUAAACGAUGCAGGUUAGGUGUUGGGGCCAAUUCGCCUCCCCGUGUGAGCCGACACACUACGAAUGUAUAUUACAGUCGCUGGGUGCGCCCACCAGCAUUGGCGAGCGUGACGGUUGUGUGCACCCUCGCCUCUCAAUCUGGAUCCUUUCCUUGGUCCUCGGAUCCACAUCCUAACCAGAACCAUUCGUGUCCCGGGUGAU
Molecule: ribosomal RNA, 940 nt
Filed under: uncultured archaeon
Lineage: Archaea
Description: bacterial SSU rRNA
Rfam family: Archaeal small subunit ribosomal RNA (bases 1-820)
Source: RNAcentral